AAUGGCGUGUAUCGCGAUGCUGGUUUUGCCACAAAUCCUAAAUAAUGAUAUCGACUUCAGGUCAUUAAGGAUAAUAAAAGGGACGAUGAGGUACCCGAAACGAGCCAGAGACAUUGGGAACAAAUAAUUAAGACACAUUUCCGAAGAAAAUAAAAUAGAGGACUUAAUAACUAAGGUUAUUAAGUUCCAUGAAAUUACCUGUCAAAAAGCACAUCAAAUUAUGGAGUUAAUCGACCGAUCCAACAAAAGAACACAAGAAAUAAAGAAAAUAAUUAACAACGUCACGGAAGAUAUAAAUACCCUAAAAAAUAAAAUCGGAGAAAUCCAGAUUACGAAUAAAGCGUAAGAAUUACAUUAAAUAUUUAUUUAUCUAAAAAGUAACGUCGAGUCUUAAAUAAAAAGUAUUAUUAGAGAAGAAAGUGGUAAUAUGAUUCAUUUACAUUUUAUGCAAUAACUUUGUUAAUAAUUAAUAUUUUAAAUUAAAACCUAACGGUUAUAUUCAUUAAAGUGUUUAUCAGAUUUAUUAGAUUUUGUUGUUUUUUAGAUUUUAGAUUAAAAGUUACAUACGUUUAUGUAAUAUUACAUUUGAAUUUAAAAGAAUGAGGAAGUAUGUGUAAUUAAAUGAUAACAUGUACUACUUUAAAUAGUUUCGAAAUGCUCGAAACUAAAAAUGCUUUGUAAUAAUCGUUAGUUUUUGUGACAAUGACAAA
This is a long non-coding RNA of Monomorium pharaonis (pharaoh ant), 710 nucleotides long. RefSeq lists it as uncharacterized. The record is from RefSeq and is a predicted model, not a curated record. NCBI's taxonomy places the organism in Eukaryota, Metazoa, Arthropoda, Insecta, Hymenoptera, Formicidae. The transcript has 3 exons.